RNAcentral lists this ribosomal RNA (1615 nucleotides) under Paenibacillus amylolyticus. RNAcentral's name for it is "partial 23S ribosomal RNA". It matches the Rfam family "Bacterial large subunit ribosomal RNA", at positions 698 to 2307 of the family's 2925-position model. The record is from RNAcentral. Lineage: Bacteria; Bacillati; Bacillota; Bacilli; Caryophanales; Paenibacillaceae.
AGUACGUGGACGUAGACCCGAAACCGGGUGAUCUACCCCUGUCCAGGGUGAAGGUGCGGUAACACGCACUGGAGGCCCGAACCCACGCAUGUUGAAAAAUGCGGGGAUGAGGUGGGGGUAGCGGAGAAAUUCCAAUCGAACUCGGAGAUAGCUGGUUCUCCCCGAAAUAGCUUUAGGGCUAGCCUCGGAAAACAGAGUCGUGGAGGUAGAGCACUGAUUGGGUGCGGGGCCCGCAAGGGUUACCAAGCUCAGUCAAACUCCGAAUGCCAUAGACUUACUUCCGGGAGUCAGACAGUGAGUGCUAAGAUCCAUUGUCAAAAGGGAAACAGCCCAGACCAUCAGCUAAGGUCCCCAAGUGUGUGUUAAGUGGGAAAGGAUGUGGAGUUGCACAGACAACCAGGAUGUUGGCUUAGAAGCAGCCACCAUUGAAAGAGUGCGUAAUAGCUCACUGGUCGAGUGACUCUGCGCCGAAAAUGUAACGGGGCUAAACACACCACCGAAGCUAUGGCUUGAUGCUUUGCAUCAGGGGUAGGGGAGCGUUGUAUAAGGGUUGAAGGUGUACCGUAAGGAGCGCUGGACAUUAUACAAGUGAGAAUGCCGGUAUGAGUAACGAAAAGAUCAGUGAGAAUCUGAUCCGCCGAAAGCCUAAGGGUUCCUGAGGAAGGCUCGUCCGCUCAGGGUAAGUCGGGACCUAAGGCGAGGCCGAAAGGCGUAGUCGAAGGACAACAGGUCGAAAUUCCUGUACCACCGUAAGCCGUUAUGAGCAAUGGGGGGACGCAGUAGGGUAGUGACGCGGACUGAUGGAUGUCCGUCUAAGCAGUGAGGCUGAUGUGUAGGCAAAUCCGCACAUUGUAAGGCUGAGCUGUGAUGGGGAGCGAAAAUUAUAGUAGCGAAGGUCAUGAUCUCACACUGCCAAGAAAAGCCUCUAGCCAGGUGAAGGUGCCCGUACCGCAAACCGACACAGGUAGGCGAGAAGAGUAUUCUAAGGCGCGCGGAAGAACUCUCGUUAAGGAACUCGGCAAAAUGACCCCGUAACUUCGGGAGAAGGGGUGCCCCGGUAGUGUGAAUAGCACGAGGGGGCCGCAGUGAAAAGGCCCAAGCGACUGUUUAGCAAAAACACAGGUCUGUGCGAAGCCGUAAGGCGAAGUAUACGGGCUGACGCCUGCCCGGUGCUGGAAGGUUAAGGGGAGUGGUUAGGGAGUAAUCCCGAAGCUGUGAACCGAAGCCCCAGUAAACGGCGGCCGUAACUAUAACGGUCCUAAGGUAGCGAAAUUCCUUGUCAGGUAAAUUCUGACCCGCACGAAUGGCGUAACGACUUGGGCGCUGUCUCAACGAGAGAUCCGGUGAAAUUUUAAUACCUGUGAAGAUGCAGGUUACCCGCGACAAGACGGAAAGACCCCAUGGAGCUUUACUGCAGCUUGAUAUUGAAUUUGGGUACGAUCUGUACAGGAUAGGUGGGAGCCUUUGAAGUGGGAGCGCAAGCUUCCAUGGAGGCAACGUUGGGAUACCACCCUGAUCGUAUCUAGGUUCUAACCUGGUACCGUAAUCCGGUGCGGGGACAGUGUCAGGUGGGCAGUUUGACUGGGGCGGUCGCCUCCUAAAGAGUAACGGAGGC